RNAcentral lists this non-coding RNA (27 nucleotides) under Rattus norvegicus (Norway rat). The record is from RNAcentral. Lineage: Eukaryota; Metazoa; Chordata; Mammalia; Rodentia; Muridae.
GGCAAAGGUGAGCCUGGCUGCUCUUGG